RNAcentral lists this ribosomal RNA (440 nucleotides) under uncultured bacterium. Its description in RNAcentral is "partial 16S ribosomal RNA". It matches the Rfam family "Bacterial small subunit ribosomal RNA", at positions 338 to 795 of the family's 1533-position model. The record is from RNAcentral.
CCUACGGGUGGCAGCAGUGGGGGAUAUUGCACAAUGGGGGGAACCCUGAUGCAGCGACGCCGCGUGGGUGAAGGAGCGUUUCGGCGCGUAAAGCCCUAUCAGCAGGGAAGAAGAUGACGGUACCUGACCAAGAAGCCCCGGCUAACUACGUGCCAGCAGCCGCGGUAAUACGUAGGGGGCAAGCGUUAUCCGGAUUUACUGGGUGUAAAGGGGGCGCAGACGGCAAUGCAAGCCUGGAGUGAAAGCCCGGGGCCCAACCCCGGGACUGCUUUGGAAACUGUAUGGCUGGAGUACAGGAGGGGCAGGCGGAAUUCCUAGUGUAGCGGUGAAAUGCGUAGAUAUUAGGAGGAACACCAGUGGCGAAGGCGGCUUACUGGACUGUAACUGACGUUGAGGCUCGAAGGCGUGGGGAGCAAACAGGAUUAGAUACCCGGGUAGUC